ACGGCGGGUGCGAGCGUUAUUCGGAAUUACUGGGCGUAAAGCGCGUGUAGGCGGGGAUGCAAGUCUGAUGUGAAAGCCCUGGGCUUAAACUGGGAAGUGCAUUGGAAACUGCAUUUCUUGAGUACUGGAGAGGAAGGGGGAAUUCCCGGUGUAGAGGUGAAAUUCGGAGAGAUCGGGAGGAAUACCAGGGGCGUAGGCUCCCUUCUGGACGGUUACUGACGCUGAGACUCGAGAGCGUGGGGAGCAAAGAG
Molecule: ribosomal RNA, 251 nt
Filed under: uncultured prokaryote
Description: partial 16S rRNA
Rfam family: Bacterial small subunit ribosomal RNA
Source: RNAcentral